CGGAGUGGACGCAUCACUGGUGUUCGGGUUGUCAUGCCAAUGGCACUGCCCGGUAGCUAAAUGCGGAAGAGAUAAGUGCUGAAAGCAUCUAAGCACGAAACUUGCCCCGAGAUGAGUUCUCCCUGAGACUUAGAGUCUCCUGAAGGAACGUUGAAGACGACGACGUUGAUAGGCCGGGUGUGUAAGCGCAGCGAUGCGUUGAGCUAACCGGUACUAAUGAACCGUGAGGCUUAACCUUACAACGCCGAAG
This 250-nucleotide ribosomal RNA is filed under the name Escherichia coli. RNAcentral's name for it is "partial 23S ribosomal RNA". It matches the Rfam family "Bacterial large subunit ribosomal RNA", at positions 2693 to 2925 of the family's 2925-position model. RNAcentral also lists the same sequence under 3 other names. The record is from RNAcentral. Lineage: Bacteria; Pseudomonadati; Pseudomonadota; Gammaproteobacteria; Enterobacterales; Enterobacteriaceae.